UUAAUUCAAUUUUCAUUAUUGGUAGAUUUAGCCCAGGAAUUAGGAUUGUCUAUUUGACGCUUGCGUUCGUUUAAGCUGCAUUAAUUUCCUCCGAGUUAUCACGCAAGAUCACAUUCAGAACUGAAAGAAAACUGUCAGACGUCUGAUACUAAACAAAAUUGCCUUUGGCGAGUAUUCAAAUGUCUCAGUCAGGCGUGGGUGUGUCUCCAGCCCAGGUAUAAAAGACACAAGCUCGCGAAAUUCUCAACCAGCCGUCGAGGAAAUCCCAACGAAGAGUGAUUAAAAGGAAAACCUCCUUGACGUAUUGGAGAGAAAGAAAACUGCCGCUGUAAACGAAUCGUUACAGUCCAUGCACAAAGAUCAGCUGUUUCACGAUGAAAGAUCUUCAUAUCCUAGUUCUCUUGGCCUUUCUUUCCUCGUUCACGUGUGCUCCGAUCAGCCGCAGUGGUCGUUCACAACCUCGAUGGAAUGCACAGGCGCCGAGCUAUCUAUUGCUCCUCUAUAAUAAUUUUAUCACAGGAAACAACUCUCUUUCACAACUUGGCGCUACGCAAGUGCGCGGAGUUCAUGCAACUGUUCAAAUAGUAAACACUGUCUCAUCUGCCAACGUUGUCAACGUGUUGCUCCCAUUAAAUGGCACGAAUCCUCAUUUAAACCAAACGUUUCUGGUCAACCUUCACAUAUCGGUCAAAGCAAGACCCGCUGCACAGCAAGGUGAUUGCCUGUUGAUUCUUGUUGACAUCGAGACAAGUGAUCAAGUGGUGUCACAGAACAUAGCUUGUAGCAGCACAAGUGAUCUGGUGUUACCAGUAACGUCCUAUGUCAAAAAUUGGAUUACAAAUCCCAGUACAAACUCUGGAAUGAGAGUUCGCAUAUCCGCCAGAAACACAAACUACCCCCAAGCCAGUCUACCCUACAUCAGUACAGACCCAAAUAUCGAACCACCAUUUUAUAUCUUGUACCUUUAAAUGUUUGUGUAAAAAGACUAUCAUCUAUUAUUAUAUGAACGUUAUGUAUCGAGGUUUUAAACCGU
Molecule: long non-coding RNA, 1033 nt
Organism: Dendronephthya gigantea
Lineage: Eukaryota; Metazoa; Cnidaria; Anthozoa; Malacalcyonacea; Nephtheidae
Exons: 4
Source: RefSeq, a predicted model, not a curated record